This 395-nucleotide ribosomal RNA is filed under the name uncultured bacterium. RNAcentral's name for it is "bacterial SSU rRNA". It matches the Rfam family "Bacterial small subunit ribosomal RNA", at positions 28 to 426 of the family's 1533-position model. The record is from RNAcentral.
GACGAACGCUGGCGGCGUGCUUAACACAUGCAAGUGGAGCGACGAACCGGGGCUUGCCCCGGGGCAGAGCCGCGAACGGGUGAGUAACACGUGGGUUACCUGCCCCAAUGACCGGGACAACCCGAGGAAACUCGGGCUAAUACCGGAUGUGGUCUUCGGACGAAAGGAAGCUUUUAAUAGCCUCCGCAUUGGGAUGGGCCCGCGGCGCAUUAGCUUGUUGGUGGGGUAACGGCCUACCAAGGCGACGAUGCGUAGCUGGUCUGAGAGGACGAUCAGCCACACUGGGACUGAGACACGGCCCAGACUCCUACGGGAGGCAGCAGUGGGGAAUCUUGCACAAUGCGCGAAAGCGUGAUGCAGCAACGCCGCGUGAGGGAAGACGGCCUUCGGGUUGU